RNAcentral lists this long non-coding RNA (733 nucleotides) under Anas platyrhynchos platyrhynchos (common mallard). RNAcentral describes it as "lncRNA (ENSAPLG00000024361.1)". Lineage: Eukaryota; Metazoa; Chordata; Aves; Anseriformes; Anatidae. The record is from RNAcentral.
GCAUGACACAUGUCAAAGAUGUGUGACGCGUGUGAAAGGCCUGUGACAUGUGUGUGAGGGGCUCAACACACAUCUGACAUGUGUGUGACACACGUGUGGGGGUGUGACACACAUGUGAGCUGCCUGUGACAUGCAUGUAGGAGGCUCAACACGUGUGUGAGAGGCGUGUGACACGCACGUGGGGGCGUGAUGUACAUAACACAUGUGUCAGAGCCAUGUAACACGUGUGUCAGAGGCUGUGACAUGUGUGUGGGGCUCAACACGCAUGUGAGAGGCAUGUGACACGCAUGUAGGAGGCACAACACACAUGUGAGAAGCGUGUCAGCAGCGUGUGACACGCGUGUGGGGUGUGUUGGGCACCACACGUGUGUGCCAGGAACCGCUACACGCAUGUCAGGCCUGCAGAACACGUGUCAUAAAGCCGCCCCGUACACGUGUCACUAUCAUGGGACACACGUGUGACAUGAGUGUCACUGUGUGUGUAACAGUCAUGGCACACGCGUGUGACACGGGGCAGCACCCCACCCCCAAACUCCGACCUAUCGCGACAUAUCACAAUGUAUCGCCACCGCCCCACACACGUGUGCCACACGCGACUCAACAGCCCGACUCCAACAUAUCGCGACAUAUCGCAACCGCACCAAGCAUCCCUCCAGCGUGCCGGGACAACACAACACCCCCCUAUCGCGACACCCCCAAAUCGCAGCGCCCCCACAGAGCUAUCGCGACACCC